CCGGUUUUAAUACAUGUGUUUUCUGACUUUUCGGAUAGCCAACUCUUGUUUUUUGGAACUUACGACUUAUGACAAGAGAGAAGAAAACUGUGUGACUUUAAAAGAAAACCAGUGAGAUAAAAUUAUAGAAAAUGUAUGAUGAUUCAGGAUGUGGUCAUUUGUGACAUUAAAACAGGAAUUGUCAUCACCAAUAGACGAAUUUCACAUUCCUAAGAGUUUUCUCCAAUUGUCGGCGUAUCGCUCAUUUUCCCCACUUUGUCCUUUGUCCUGUUCUGUGGAUGCCCUUAGACAGUGUCUACCCAUCACUCCAUCUGAAAUCACUUGUUCUGUGCAUAUUUCUCUCUCAAACUUAAACUACAGAGAGCCUGUGGAUAGAGGAUGAAGAGUGACCUUGGACUAAUUUUCUAGGUCAAAGAUCAUAGGUGAUGUGAAGAAAACCAGGAAACUGAUGUUGAAAGAAGUACUUAAUGACCCUUAUGAAUGGACUUAAAUGUGAAAGACUGUUCCAUUGUUUAUCUAAGAUAUAUG
Long non-coding RNA from Saccostrea cuccullata (small rock oyster), 528 nucleotides. RefSeq lists it as uncharacterized. The record is from RefSeq and is a predicted model, not a curated record. Lineage: Eukaryota; Metazoa; Mollusca; Bivalvia; Ostreida; Ostreidae. The transcript has 5 exons.